This 882-nucleotide long non-coding RNA is filed under the name Homo sapiens (human). RNAcentral describes it as "HSALNT0400175". Lineage: Eukaryota; Metazoa; Chordata; Mammalia; Primates; Hominidae. The record is from RNAcentral.
AAAUACCAAAAGCUGUCCUCAUUGAGUCAUCCCUCCCAGAGCAGGAAGAGCAGAGGUUCUGGGAAACAACCCCAAGGAGAGAGACAGGGCAUUUAUAAAACAGCAUGUAAGCAUCUCUGCAGUUGCUGUCCCCAGAGCCCACUUCCUGGAUAUUGCCAGCUGCCUGGACCAACCUUUCCGAAAGAUCAGCCAGGUCACAGUGAGGGUCAAAGCAGGAGGCCACUGGAGGCUCCAAGGGCUCUGAAAUGUUGAGAACUUCCCUGCAGGUACCAGCGAAGAGGGCAAGAACACAGCACUACUUCCUUGGAUACUGUUUCCCUCCUCAGAGGGGUUUUCUGAGCUGCCCUGGGUCCUGUGAGGAAGAAGUCCUAGCAGAGUAUGCCCACGCUGGUUAGUGCUGCUGCAAAGAUGAGCCGAAGACCAUGAGAGACCUCCAGGUGGUCCUUCUGGGGAGAAGAAAUGGGUUUUGGCCCCAAAUCCUUCUGCUGCAUUUUUCCCCUAUCCCUGGGAAGCCAUGAGACCUCAAACCUGUGUUCCCAAGGAGGCGAGCUGCUGUUCCCAGGUGAUGAUAUGAUGUGCUUGGGGAAAGUAAGUGGCUGCCAGACAUGGCUGAGAGCUGUUGUCACUGCCGUCAAGUGCAUGUCUCCAAGCCAUAUCACACGGCGUCCCUCGAUGUGAGGCCACAUGGCAAGUGGGCCGUGGAUCUCCCUCUGCCCUUUGCAAGCACGUAAGACAGCAGAUUUUGCAGAUACCUUGUGGCGCAGGGGAAUUUCCUUUGGCCAGGUCUGAAGAAAUAAAGCAGCAGGCACCGAGAACAAAGCCAAGGCUUUCAAAAGACAAGGAGCCAAAAAACUUACUCAAAAUAAAAGUAGUUUUAAAAUG